RNAcentral lists this ribosomal RNA (251 nucleotides) under uncultured bacterium. RNAcentral describes it as "partial 16S ribosomal RNA". It matches the Rfam family "Bacterial small subunit ribosomal RNA", at positions 524 to 776 of the family's 1533-position model. The record is from RNAcentral.
GACGGGGGGGGCAAGUGUUCUUCGGAAUGACUGGGCGUAAAGGGCACGUAGGCGGUGAAUCGGGUUGAACGUGAAAGUCGCCAAAAAGUGGCGGAAUGCUCUCGAAACCAAUUCACUUGAGUGAGACAGAGGAGAGUGGAAUUUCGUGUGUAGGGGUGAAAUGCGUAGAUAUCGUAAAGAAGACCAGUGGCGAAGGCGGGUCUCUGGACAGUUCCUGACGCUGAGGCACGAAGGUCAGGGGAGCAAACGGG